UUUCGAUAAUCCGCAUCAGCAGUCAAGAAUAUUAGUCAAUGUUAUUUAAUUCCAUAAUCCGGCAUCCGCUUACUAUUAAUGUCGUCUAAAUUUGGUGCCAGAAGACUCGGUAAGACCUUAGACGCAAACGUUAAUCGUCAUAAUCAGGCGUAAAGGGUGUGUAGGCUGCUUUAAAAAAUAUAAUAAGUAAUAUAAUUAUUAUAGCAAAAAAAUUAUAUUUUAAUAAAAGCUAGAAUCUAAAAGAGGGUAAGCUAAACAACAUAAUUAACUGGGACUGACAACUUAUAAUAAUGUGGAGUACUAAAGGUUAAAGCUAUUUAUCUACUGAAGAUUGACGCUGAGAAACGAAGGGGAGAAUAAGAAACUUAAAUUAUAGACCUAGUUAUCUCUCUCAGACAACGAUGAAUGGUAGUUAUUAAAAAUUUUAUAAUUUUAAUAACGAGGUUAACACGAUGACCAUUCCGCCUUGUUAUUAAGACUGCCAAAUUGAAAA
Molecule: ribosomal RNA, 493 nt
Filed under: Zangia roseola
Lineage: Eukaryota; Fungi; Basidiomycota; Agaricomycetes; Boletales; Boletaceae
Description: partial small subunit ribosomal RNA
Rfam family: Bacterial small subunit ribosomal RNA
Source: RNAcentral